Long non-coding RNA from Alexandromys fortis (reed vole), 801 nucleotides. RefSeq lists it as uncharacterized. NCBI's taxonomy places the organism in Eukaryota, Metazoa, Chordata, Mammalia, Rodentia, Cricetidae. The transcript is spliced from 3 exons. The record is from RefSeq and is a predicted model, not a curated record.
CCUACACUGGGCUGGGCUGUAAAGCGGCUUGCAUGUUUGUUCUGGAAAUUGUAUAGCUCAGGGCAGCAUGUCUUUAUAGGGGCAAGAUGAGGCAGGACGGAAAGGCUGGGCAGAUCUGCUGCCCCGGGGGCUCCCCGAGCCAGGAGCAGCUGCGUGAAGGACAGGAAAAGAACUCUGGAGAGCAAAGGUCAUUACAAAAGAGGGACAUUCGGCAUCGCUGAAGAGCAGGACCGUGGCUCCCGCUUCUUCCGUUUUCACUACCGAGAGCCUUCACUGGGCUUCAUGACAGCAGAUGGCCUGAGCUGGAAGGGAACCUCAUAUCCUGAAGCCAGGUUUCCUCCUCUGAUCUUUAUCAUCCCCGAGAAAAGAUCUGCAAACCCUGUGACUGUGGACAUCACCUAUUGUUAUCCUGAAGUUUCCUAGCUCCCUCUUUCUGUCUGCAUUUUCCAAUUUCAAAUUCCCAAGAAGACCAGUCUUUCCUCCCUAAUCUAACAACGACUAUCCUUACAAACAUCGAAAAGGCAGUAUGAGCCCAAGGACCGUUGUUUUAUUGGAUGAGUUAGAGUCCACGAUUGUCAUUACUCGUUUUGUGGAUCAAGUUGCUCACACAUUGGCUGUUAGGAACUCCUGUGGCCUGGCUGUCCUGCUUCUUAAACAGUCUUACCAUUCUUAAAAAUACUCUUAAAAUUUGUUAGUAAAUAUAUUUACAUGAUUUCCCCUUCCCUUCCCUUCCUCCAACACCUGCCACCCCCCCAACUCCCUCUUAAGUCUAUGGCCUCUUUUUCUUUAAUUAAUACACUC